AUUCAUUUAGUAUAUAUUUAGUAUAUAAAGCUUCCAACUUUAAGGUUUAACUUCAAAGUGAAUA
Molecule: transfer RNA, 64 nt
Filed under: Deltocephalinae sp. EMHAU-2015-Zz052318
Lineage: Eukaryota; Metazoa; Arthropoda; Insecta; Hemiptera; Cicadellidae
Description: tRNA-Gly
Source: RNAcentral